CCAAGACCUGCAGCCAAGCUGGCCAGCCCUGGAGUUACCACCCUUCCACCAGAAACACCUGGCGCCUGUGUCUCUGAAGCACUGUUAAGCAUAUGGCUUUGGGGACUGACUCUUGCGCCAACUUUUGAAAAGUCAGCCCCCACCCAAGCUGGGCCCUUCUGAGCAGAGGCGGUGGAGGUGAGAUUGGCCAAAGCCACUGUGCCGAGAACUCACCUUUGUUCCUGUCUCUUGUUUCCAUCUCCCCACCCGGCGCUAGAGCGGGAGGGGCUGUAGUGGUUCCCAGGUGUGCCUCACCCAUCUCCAGACUCUCAGGGAGGAGGGCCAGUUGGGCGGCCUCUGUCCCUUCCCCACAUCAUGCUCCUUCCCCCACUCUUAUCUUCUUUUGGCCUCUGCUGGAAACAACCAUUGAUCAUCUCGUGACCCCAGAGGAACAAUCUUAUCAGUUCUAAUCACAAGAGGAAGUGGCGAUGGGGGGCAGUGACGGGGUGAUCUCCCUUCUGAGAACACACUUGCCCAGGAGAUGCUGGCUCUGGAGUGCCCCAGAGCUUCCUACCCUCUGGGAGCAGAGUCCACAGGGUCAGCCCCUGCUCCAGCCAAGCUCAGUCAGGACCUUUCUGCUGGCAGAAGGGAAGGGGGCAUCUCCCACCUACUCUGAACCCCAUGUGUGCUGGAGUCACGGGAGACUCUGGGCCCGAGGUUUUCUGUGGGUUUCUGGAUGGCUGUAACUGGAGCCAGCUAUGUGGGGCUUUGUCCCUUGGGACACACUGGCAGGAGCCCCAAGAACCUGUAGCCAAGCUACUCUGUCAACCCCCACCUGCAGCCAAAUCCGGGUCUCCUUGUCCUAAGGCUCAGAGGCAGGACAGGUUGUCAAGUGUGGGAGUUGGAGACUCUACGCUGUGUGCUGUGGGUAGGGGUUCACAACCCACUCUCCACUUUCCCAGGAAGGUGUCUUCACCUCCAAGAUUUGAGUUUUUUUAAAAACGUGGCGACAGUCUCUGCUUUCUAGGGCUGCUGUUAGGCCAAGAGAGACCUGUACUGGUGGGGAGCCAUGGAGGGGCAGAGUGGAGCUACAGGCACGAGAAAGGCUUGAGCCCCCGGGGCAGUCAGCUAGCAUCUUAGGGGGAGCCUGGGCUGGAGCCCCCGUGCCCCUCUCCGGGCCUGCUGUCAGGGGGGCCAGCAGCCACAGCGGCCAGGGCAGAGGGCAGGGAGGUCUUUGUUCCACCAGUGGGAAGAGACAGGCAUCAGCUGACAAAAGCAUGUCAGCUGGCAUGUCAGGGGUCCAGGUGGAGCGGAGGUUGGCCCUCAGCCCACGUAGGUUUCCGGGGAGCUAAGUGUGUGUGUUGGGGGGG
Molecule: non-coding RNA, 1349 nt
Organism: Vicugna pacos (alpaca)
Lineage: Eukaryota; Metazoa; Chordata; Mammalia; Artiodactyla; Camelidae
Source: RefSeq, a predicted model, not a curated record